UUUUAGCUCGUCAUACAACACUGCAGAUCGGGGUUAAAUACCGUCCCGUAAGACGGCCGACUCACGCGUGGUAACGUACCUUUUGUUUCAGAACCGCACACGUAAACUUGUGCUAGUGCCGGAUCAAGCCCUUCCAGCGAAAGAUUUUUCGUCGAAAGAUCGGCCCGAGUCUGAUUAGCUAUGUGACGAGGUUAUGACUCUCCCUGGCGACUAUCACUACCUGGCCUGAUAGGAUGAUCAUCCACAUUGGGACUGAGACACGGCCCAAACUCCUACGAGAGGCUGCACGUGGUCAAUAUUGUACUAUGCGGGGCAACCCUGAUCCACCCCUGCCACGGGACUGAUGAAUGCCCUAGGCUUGUAAAGCUCUUUUGUGCCGUAUGAUAAUGUACGGCCACCGCUCGAAUAAGCCCCGGCUAACUUCGUGCCAGCAGCCGCGGUAUUACGAAUGCGGCUAGCGUUGCUCGUAAUCACUGACCCGUAAAGGAUGUGUAGGCGGCUCUUUAAGUCCUGCGUGAAAUCCUGAAGCUCAACUCCAGAACUGCCUUUGAUACUGAAGAUCUUGAGUCCGGUAGAGGUGAAUGCAACUGCCAGUGUUCAGCUGAAAUUCUUAUAUAUUCGUAAGAUCACCAGUGGCGAAGGCGGCUCACUGGCCCGGUACUGACGCUGAUUCACGAAAAGCAUGGGCAGCAAACAGGAUUAUAUAUCCUGGUAGUCCACGCCGUAAACAAUGAAUGCCACCCGUUAGUGGGUUUCCUCCCAAAGGGGGCGGCUAACGAUUUAAGCAUUACUCCUGGGGAGUACGC
RNAcentral lists this ribosomal RNA (806 nucleotides) under Bradyrhizobium sp. TSBF-607. RNAcentral describes it as "bacterial SSU rRNA". It matches the Rfam family "Bacterial small subunit ribosomal RNA", at positions 61 to 885 of the family's 1533-position model. The record is from RNAcentral. Lineage: Bacteria; Pseudomonadati; Pseudomonadota; Alphaproteobacteria; Hyphomicrobiales; Nitrobacteraceae.